UCCGGAAUGGUGUAGUGGCUAGCAUUUCUGCCUCUCAACAGAUUGUCUCAUCGAUCGAGUGCGCAGGAGACCGGGGUUCAAUUCCCCGUUCCGGAA
RNAcentral lists this transfer RNA (96 nucleotides) under Drepanopeziza brunnea f. sp. 'multigermtubi' MB_m1. RNAcentral's name for it is "Marssonina brunnea f. sp. 'multigermtubi' MB_m1 tRNA". It matches the Rfam family "tRNA". From Rfam's summary of the family: Transfer RNA (tRNA) molecules are approximately 80 nucleotides in length. Their secondary structure includes four short double-helical elements and three loops (D, anti-codon, and T loops). The record is from Rfam by way of RNAcentral. Lineage: Eukaryota; Fungi; Ascomycota; Leotiomycetes; Helotiales; Drepanopezizaceae.